AUUGAACGCUGGCGGCAGGCCUAACACAUGCCAGUCGAGCGGAUGAAGGGAGCUUGCUCCUGGAUUCAGCGGCGGACGGGUGAGUAAUGCCUAGGAAUCUGCCUGGUAGUGGGGGAUAACGUCCGGAAACGGGCGCUAAUACCGCAUACGUCCUGAGGGAGAAAGUGGGGGAUCUUCGGACCUCACGCUAUCAGAUGAGCCUAGGUUGGAUUAGCUAGUUGGUGGGGUAAAGGCCUACCAAGGCGACGAUCCGUAACUGGUCUGAGAGGAUGAUCAGUCACACUGGAACUGAGACACGGUCCAGACUCCUACGGGAGGCAGCAGUGGGGAAUAUUGGACAAUGGGCGAAAGCCUGAUCCAGCCAUGCCGCGUGUGUGAAGAAGGUCUUCGGAUUGUAAAGCACUUUAAGUUGGGAGGAAGGGCAGUAAGUUAAUACCUUGCUGUUUUGACGUUACCAACAGAAUGAGCACCGGCUAACUUCGUG
Molecule: ribosomal RNA, 484 nt
Filed under: uncultured bacterium
Lineage: Bacteria
Description: partial 16S ribosomal RNA
Rfam family: Bacterial small subunit ribosomal RNA
Source: RNAcentral